GAUCAAGUAUUAUUGGGAUUUGCUCAGGGGUAGAGCAGUGGAUUGAAAAUCCUCGUGUCGGUGGUUCGAUUCCGCCCCUGGGCACCA
Molecule: transfer RNA, 87 nt
Filed under: Marivivens niveibacter
Lineage: Bacteria; Pseudomonadati; Pseudomonadota; Alphaproteobacteria; Rhodobacterales; Paracoccaceae
Description: tRNA-Phe
Rfam family: tRNA (bases 22-76)
About the family: Transfer RNA (tRNA) molecules are approximately 80 nucleotides in length.
Source: RNAcentral